UUGGUGCUUGCAUUGAACCUGGAAAGCGGCGAAAGGGAGAGUAACGCGUAGGAUACCUGCCCCUGGGUCUGGGAUAGCGGUGGGAAACCGCCGGUAAUACCGGAUAAUGUCCCCGGACCAAAGGUGUGAUUCCGCCUAGGGAUGGUCCUGCGUCCUAUUAGUUUGUUGGUGGGGUAACGGCUCACCAAGACGAUGAUGGGUAGCGGGCGUGAGAGCGUGGCCCGUCUCACUGGGACUGAGACACUGCCCAGACACCUACGGGUGGCUGCAGUCGAGAAUCUUCCGCAAUGGACGCAAGUCUGACGGAGCGACGCCGCGUGCGGGAUGAAGGCCUUCGGGUUGUAAACCGCUGUCAGUGGGAAGGAAAUCUGUUGGGGCUAUCCUCAGCAGUUGACCGAACCGCAGAGGAAGUCCGGGCUAAGUACGUGCCAGCAGCCGCGGUAACACGUACCGGACAAACGUUAUUCGGAAUUACUGGGCUUAAAGAGUGCGUAGGCGGCCUGGCAGGUGGGGUGUGAAAGCCCACGGCUCAACCGUGGAAUUGCGCUUCAAACCGCUAGGCUUGAGGGAGACAGGGGUGAGCGGAACUGAUGGUGGAGCGGUGAAAUGCGUUGAUAUCAUCAGGAACACCAGUGGCGUAGGCGGCUCACUGGGUCUCUUCUGACGCUGAGGCACGAAAG
This 680-nucleotide ribosomal RNA is filed under the name uncultured bacterium. RNAcentral's name for it is "bacterial SSU rRNA". It matches the Rfam family "Bacterial small subunit ribosomal RNA", at positions 73 to 759 of the family's 1533-position model. The record is from RNAcentral.